GGGGAAUUGGCGGAAUUGGCAGACGCACUAGACUUAGGAUCUAGCGCCUUUGGCGUAAGGGUUCAAGUCCCUUAUUCCCCACCA
RNAcentral lists this transfer RNA (84 nucleotides) under Mycoplasma yeatsii. Its description in RNAcentral is "tRNA-Leu". It matches the Rfam family "tRNA". From Rfam's summary of the family: Transfer RNA (tRNA) molecules are approximately 80 nucleotides in length. Their secondary structure includes four short double-helical elements and three loops (D, anti-codon, and T loops). Further hydrogen bonds mediate the characteristic L-shaped molecular structure. tRNAs have two regions of fundamental functional importance: the anti-codon, which is responsible for specific mRNA codon recognition, and the 3' end, to which the tRNAs corresponding amino acid is attached (by aminoacyl-tRNA synthetases). tRNAs cope with the degeneracy of the genetic code in two manners: having more than one tRNA (with a specific anti-codon) for a particular amino acid; and 'wobble' base-pairing, i.e. permitting non-standard base-pairing at the 3rd anti-codon position. The record is from RNAcentral. Lineage: Bacteria; Bacillati; Mycoplasmatota; Mollicutes; Mycoplasmatales; Mycoplasmataceae. RNAcentral also lists the same sequence under 2 other names.